GGCUUCUUGGUCAAGUGGUAAGGACACUUGCCUCACCCUGGAGUCCGGGUUCGAUCCCCGGUCGAGGAGCUA
This 72-nucleotide transfer RNA is filed under the name Rhamnusium bicolor. RNAcentral's name for it is "tRNA-OTHER". The record is from RNAcentral. Lineage: Eukaryota; Metazoa; Arthropoda; Insecta; Coleoptera; Cerambycidae.